Long non-coding RNA from Scophthalmus maximus (turbot), 1783 nucleotides. RefSeq lists it as uncharacterized. The transcript has 3 exons. Lineage: Eukaryota; Metazoa; Chordata; Actinopteri; Pleuronectiformes; Scophthalmidae. The record is from RefSeq and is a predicted model, not a curated record.
CUCUUCUGAUAUUACACAUCGGAGUGCUAAAAAAAGCCGACCACAGCAGCAGCUGCUGACAGCGGUUAAUGAUGAGAUUCUCUGUAUGCAUGUGCCACAUGCUCAGACCGGGCCACAACUAAACAGUCACAAACAAAGCCUUGUUGAACCUACACACCACGGCAGGCCGUCCGCGUGUUUACACUGCACAGAAAUGCUUUUCAGUGCAUGCAGAGAAAAAUGAACUAAAUUAAGUCACUGACACGUUAUAUUCUGCAGCAUCAUGUCAUUCCCAAAGUCGCCUAAUGAUCAUACAUUGCAAAGUCAUCGUAAACAGAAUCCCUGCCUGAACAGACAGCACCGGAUCCGGCUGGAAUGACUUUAAAGGCGCAGUUAUCAGCAGAAGCACCACGUGUGAGGGAACAGGAAGAGGAGCUAAAUGGAAACGACCCCCUAGCCACCAGGAUUACUCUAAAACUUCUGAACCGAUGGCCAUGAAAUUUAGUGGAGGAGUUGGAGCAGAUCCGGAUAAGACGCCGGACCUAGGAAAGGAAGUGGUAAAGGAAGCAACAAAGCAUAAAUCCAGUUGGACCAGUGGUAAAGGAGGGGGAUGUGUUCUAUAAAUGCACAGCCCUGCGAGCUACAAGCUAAUAUCAGCUUCUCAAAAGUACAUCUGACAAUCUAUUUUCGGUGAUGAGUUUUGCAGAUGCUUGAUCAGAAACCCAAGUUCAUGACAAAUUCAAUCUUUCUUUUUGACCUGACGAUGGUGCUGGGGGAGGCAUGAAAGGAUGUGUACCAAAUUUCACUGCAAUCCAUCCAAUAGCUGUUGACAUAUUUCGGUCUGGACCAAAGUGGUGGGCAGACCGACCAAUCGUCAGACAAGCAGUAGUGUGAAUAAAAAUAGAGUGGGAAUGUGUCAUGGGUUAAAACCCCCAAAAAACACUGAAAAUCUGAAGAAAAUACACAGGACACAAGACUGUACGAUACAGAUGUGGAGGUUUCACUGAUGUUGUUCACAGGGUAAUAGAUUUUUGGGUGGAUUUUGGGCGAAAAAAAGAAAGAACACUUCUUUUUCAGCUUAGUAGUCCCCUCCUACAUGCACACACACUUAGCCCAGCUCUCAUGGAGAAUAUAUGGACCCCUUCUUUGUAGAAGUUGAUGUCUUAGAUCUCCAGUUAAGGGUCCGCAGCAGUGAGGGGGGGGUCAGACCCUGUCGGCCACAUUUGAAUUCAGCAGCCCACUUCUUCCCUGUGCAGUAGGAAGGGGCUGCCUCUCCUAGUGAUGCCUUAAUAUAUGAUUUUCUCUGCUCUGUUUCAUAUAUCAUAUAUAAACUGUUUCUGUAUCAGUGGGUUACCUACACACAAAUGACGCAUGUCAGAGUGUGUCUGUGAGUAUGUGGCCUUGUUGUGUCACAAAUGUAUAUGCGUGAAAUGCAAAUGUGAAAAUUAUUAUGGGCAAAUUAAAUUUAGGUCAAAUAUGGCUACUAUAACUACAACUACUAUGUCGGUGAAUAUAAUUGAUAAUAAUUUAAUACAAAUAUGAGGGAAAAAUCGUCUUGACAUUGGGCUAGCUACGAUUCUUCUGAACAUCUUCAGUCUCGAGAUCAACAUCUAUAGGAGGUUUUAGUAAUUUGGAGUAUUUGGAGUGUAAAUGUAGCUCCCAGAAAUGAGAUAAAACGCACAAUAAACAAAGUCAAAGAUAAAAUUGACUGAAAGUAUUUUUUUUCAGACUUUAUCUAGAUAUUAUAAUGAUAUUGAUAAAUAUCAAUAUGAUAAUAUAAUAUCAAUAAUUGUGAAAUAUUUCA